UACGAAGGGGGCUAGCGUUGCUCGGAAUCACUGGGCGUAAAGCGCACGUAGGCGGCCUACUAAGUCAGGGGUGAAAUCCUGGAGCUCAACUCCAGAACUGCCUUUGAUACUGGUGGGCUUGAGUCCGGGAGAGGUGAGUGGAACUGCGAGUGUAGAGGUGAAAUUCGUAGAUAUUCGCAAGAACACCAGUGGCGAAGGCGGCUCACUGGCCCGGUACUGACGCUGAGGUGCGAAAGCGUGGGGAGCAAACAGG
This 253-nucleotide ribosomal RNA is filed under the name uncultured bacterium. Its description in RNAcentral is "partial 16S ribosomal RNA". It matches the Rfam family "Bacterial small subunit ribosomal RNA", at positions 524 to 776 of the family's 1533-position model. The record is from RNAcentral.